UGGGGAAUUUUGGACAAUGGGCGAAAGCCUGAUCCAGCAAUGCCGCGUGUGUGAAGAAGGCCUUCGGGUUGUAAAGCACUUUUGUCCGGAAAGAAAUCCUUGGCUCUAAUACAGUCGGGGGAUGACGGUACCGGAAGAAUAAGCACCGGCUAACUACGUGCCAGCAGCCGCGGUAAUACGUAGGGUGCAAGCGUUAAUCGGAAUUACUGGGCGUAAAGCGUGCGCAGGCGGUUUGCUAAGACCGAUGUGAAAUCCCCGGGCUCAACCUGGGAACUGCAUUGGUGACUGGCAGGCUAGAGUAUGGCAGAGGGGGGUAGAAUUCCACGUGUAGCAGUGAAAUGCGUAGAGAUGUGGAGGAAUACCGAUGGCGAAGGCAGCCCCCUGGGCCAAUACUGACGCUCAUGCACGAAAGCGUGGGGAGCAAACAGGAUUAGAUACCCUGGUAGUCCACGCCCUAAACGAUGUCAACUAGUUGUUGGGGAUUCAUUUCCUUAGUAACGUAGCUAACGCGUGAAGUUGACCGCCUGGGGAGUACGGUCGCAAGAUUAAAACUCAAAUGAAUUGACGGGGUCAUAGC
This 577-nucleotide ribosomal RNA is filed under the name uncultured bacterium. RNAcentral's name for it is "partial 16S ribosomal RNA". It matches the Rfam family "Bacterial small subunit ribosomal RNA", at positions 355 to 925 of the family's 1533-position model. The record is from RNAcentral.